GAUGAAGAACGCAGCGAAACGCGAAAUGUAAUGUGAAUUGCAGAAUUCAGUGAAUCAUCGAAUCUUUGAACGCACAUGGCGCCUUCCAGUAUCCUGGGAGGCAUGCCUGUCCGAGCGUCGUUUCAACCCUCGAGCCCCCGUGGCCCGGCGUUGGGGAUCUGCCACGGCAGGCCCCUAAAACCAGUGGCGGACCCGAAGGCCCUCUCCUUUGCGCAGUAGCAUCAGCCUCGCAUUGGGAUCCCUCGGCGUCCUGCCUCUAAACCCCCCACAAGUCCGCUCCGGCGGCACCAAGGUUGACCUCGGAUCAGGUAGGAAUACCCGCUGAACUUAAGCAUAUCAAUAAGCGGAGGA
Molecule: unclassified non-coding RNA, 351 nt
Filed under: soil metagenome
Description: partial contains 5.8S ribosomal RNA, internal transcribed spacer 2, and large subunit ribosomal RNA
Rfam family: 5.8S ribosomal RNA (bases 1-120)
Source: RNAcentral